RNAcentral lists this transfer RNA (69 nucleotides) under Marmota monax (woodchuck). Its description in RNAcentral is "tRNA.Ala". The record is from RNAcentral. Lineage: Eukaryota; Metazoa; Chordata; Mammalia; Rodentia; Sciuridae.
GUAUACAGUUCAGUGGUAGAACAUUUGCCUAGCAUGCACUAGGCCCUGCGUUUGAGCCCCAGCAACACA